AACGUUUCUUCGGAAACGUAUAAUUAGCGGCGGACGGGUGAGUAACACGUGGGUAACCUGCCUGUAAGACUGGGAUAACAUUCGGAAACGAAUGCUAAUACCGGAUACGCGGCUUGGUCGCAUGACCGAGCCGGGAAAGAUGGAGCAAUCUAUCACUUAUAGAUGGACCCGCGGCGCAUUAGCUAGUUGGUGAGGUAACGGCUCACCAAGGCGACGAUGCGUAGCCGACCUGAGAGGGUGAUCGGCCACACUGGGACUGAGACACGGCCCAGACUCCUACGGGAGGCAGCAGUAGGGAAUCUUCCGCAAUGGACGAAAGUCUGACGGAGCAACGCCGCGUGAGUGAUGAAGGUUUUCGGAUCGUAAAGCUCUGUUGCCAGGGAAGAAUGCUUGGGAGAGUAACUGCUCUCAAGGUGACGGUACCUGAGAAGAAAGCCCCGG
Molecule: ribosomal RNA, 441 nt
Filed under: Paenibacillaceae bacterium CL6.75
Lineage: Bacteria; Bacillati; Bacillota; Bacilli; Caryophanales; Paenibacillaceae
Description: bacterial SSU rRNA
Rfam family: Bacterial small subunit ribosomal RNA
Source: RNAcentral